GGGUGAGUAGCUCAGUUGGUUAGAGCCGCCGGCUCAUAACCGGCUGGUCGGGGGUUCAAGUCCCUCCUCACCCACCA
This 77-nucleotide transfer RNA is filed under the name Hellea balneolensis. RNAcentral's name for it is "tRNA-Met". It matches the Rfam family "tRNA". Rfam says of the family: Transfer RNA (tRNA) molecules are approximately 80 nucleotides in length. Their secondary structure includes four short double-helical elements and three loops (D, anti-codon, and T loops). RNAcentral also lists the same sequence under 2 other names. Lineage: Bacteria; Pseudomonadati; Pseudomonadota; Alphaproteobacteria; Maricaulales; Robiginitomaculaceae. The record is from RNAcentral.